This is a non-coding RNA of Pyronema omphalodes CBS 100304, 82 nucleotides long. The record is from Rfam. Lineage: Eukaryota; Fungi; Ascomycota; Pezizomycetes; Pezizales; Pyronemataceae.
GGCAACCUGGCCGAGCGGUCUAAGGCGCCAGCUUCAGGUGCUGGUCCGUAACAGGGCGCGAGUUCGAAUCUCGCGGUUGUCA